RNAcentral lists this ribosomal RNA (396 nucleotides) under uncultured bacterium. RNAcentral describes it as "partial 16S ribosomal RNA". It matches the Rfam family "Bacterial small subunit ribosomal RNA", at positions 523 to 918 of the family's 1533-position model. The record is from RNAcentral.
AUACGUAGGUGGCAAGCGUUAUCCGGAUUUACUGGGUGUAAAGGGCGCGUAGGCGGGGAUGCAAGUCAGAUGUGAAAUCUAUGGGCUUAACCCAUAAACUGCAUUUGAAACUGUAUCUCUUGAGUGUCGGAGAGGUAGAUGGAAUUCCUUGUGUAGCGGUGAAAUGCGUAGAUAUAAGGAAGAACACCAGUGGCGAAGGCGAUCUACUGGACGAUAACUGACGCUGAGGCGCGAAAGCGUGGGGAGCAAACAGGAUUAGAUACCCUGGUAGUCCACGUUGUAAACGAUGAAUACUAGGUGUGGGGGGACUGACCCCUUCCGUGCCGCAGUUAACACAAUAAGUAUUCCACCUGGGGAGUACGGCCGCAAGGCUGAAACUCAAAGGAAUUGACGGGG